UACGGAGGGUGCGAGCGUUGUCCGGAAUCACUGGGCGUAAAGGGCGCGUAGGCGGCCACCGCAAGUCGGUUGUGAAAUCUCUGGGCUUAACCCAGAAAGGUCAACCGAUACUGCGGGGCUAGAGUGCAGAAGGGGCAACUGGAAUUCUCGGUGUAGCGGUGAAAUGCGUAGAUAUCGAGAGGAACACCUGCGGCGAAGGCGGGUUGCUGGGCUGACACUGACGCUGAUGCGCGAAAGCUAGGGGAGCGAACGGG
RNAcentral lists this ribosomal RNA (254 nucleotides) under uncultured bacterium. Its description in RNAcentral is "partial 16S ribosomal RNA". It matches the Rfam family "Bacterial small subunit ribosomal RNA", at positions 524 to 776 of the family's 1533-position model. The record is from RNAcentral.